This is a long non-coding RNA of Mugil cephalus (flathead mullet), 450 nucleotides long. RefSeq lists it as uncharacterized. The record is from RefSeq and is a predicted model, not a curated record. Lineage: Eukaryota; Metazoa; Chordata; Actinopteri; Mugiliformes; Mugilidae. The transcript has 3 exons.
CGCUGUGGUUCCAAUAUGGAGAAUCAGACUUUGUGGUGACUUCUGUCAUCCAAUCAGAGGCCGGAUUUGUUCCAAUAUUCCUCCAGGACCCUCCCCUGUCACUGGAACCUGCUGAACGGUGCGGACGGAGCUCCCAGGGGCACAUGGGAAGUUCUGUGUGACGAGUCUUUACAUCAGGACGAGAGGAAACAACCUGGUCAGGUCAGUGUUGGUUCCACCACCUCCACCAGAGGUGCUGUCACACUCACAUCCUCAACUACCUCCAUUUCUGCUGCUGCUUUGUCCAGUGUGGGCUAAAGAAGAUCAAGGAGACAGACACAGAGACGUAAAGAGGACUGGUAGGAGCCUGAACUACUUUCCUGCUGCAAAAGAACAGGACCCACAUGAACGGACGGCCUCAAUCACCUGAAACAGAGCUGUGCUCCUCCAACUCCUCCACUGGUUGUUAAA